CCCUUAGAUGUCCCGGGCCGCACGCGCGUUACACUGAUGCAUUCAACGAGCUUAUAACCUUGGCCGAGAGGCCUGGGCAAUCUUGUUAACGUGCAUCGUGAUAGGGAUAGAUUAUUGAAAUUAUUAAUCUUGAACGAGGAAUUCCUAGUAAACGCAGAUCAUCAAUCUGCAUUGAUUACGUCCCUGCCCUUUGUACACACCGCCCGUCGCACCUACCGAUUGGAUGGUCCGGUGAAGCCUCGGGAUUGUGGUUCUUGCCGCUUUAUUGUGGCGUGACCGCGAGAACUUGUCUAAACCUUAUCAUCUAGAGGAAGGUGAAGUCGUAACA
RNAcentral lists this ribosomal RNA (328 nucleotides) under uncultured eukaryote. RNAcentral describes it as "partial 18S ribosomal RNA". It matches the Rfam family "Eukaryotic small subunit ribosomal RNA", at positions 1470 to 1796 of the family's 1831-position model. The record is from RNAcentral.